Molecule: transfer RNA, 69 nt
Filed under: Cordylochernes scorpioides
Lineage: Eukaryota; Metazoa; Arthropoda; Arachnida; Pseudoscorpiones; Chernetidae
Description: tRNA-Gly
Source: RNAcentral
UGCAUCGGCUGGAAUCGAACCCGGCCGUCCGCGUGGCAGGCGAGCAUUCUACCACUGAACCACCGAUGG